This 793-nucleotide ribosomal RNA is filed under the name uncultured bacterium. RNAcentral describes it as "bacterial SSU rRNA". It matches the Rfam family "Bacterial small subunit ribosomal RNA", at positions 8 to 796 of the family's 1533-position model. The record is from RNAcentral.
AGAGUUUGAUCAUGGCUCAGGAUUAACGCUAGCGGCAGGCCUAAUACAUGCAAGUCGUGGGGCAGCAGGUGUAGCAAUACAUGCUGGCGACCGGCGCACGGGUGCGUAACACGUAUGCAAUCUACCUAUAACCGGGGAAUAACUCUUCGAAAGAAGGGCUAAUACCGCAUAACACUUCGAGGUGGCAUCACCAUGAAGUUAAACCUCCGGGGGUUAUAGAUGAGCAUGCGUCCGAUUAGUUAGUUGGCGGGGUAACGGCCCACCAAGACUUCGAUCGGUAGGGGUUCUGAGAGGAAGAUCCCCCACACUGGUACUGAGAUACGGACCAGACUCCUACGGGAGGCAGCAGUAAGGAAUAUUGGACAAUGGGCGCAAGCCUGAUCCAGCCAUGCCGCGUGCAGGAUGAAGGUGCUCAGCACUGUAAACUGCUUUUGUUUGGGAAAAAAUCCCUGGUUUCUACCGGGGUUGAUUGUACCAAGAGAAUAAGGGACGGCUAACUUCGUGCCAGCAGCCGCGGUAAUACGAAGGUCCCAAGCGUUAUCCGGAUUUAUUGGGUUUAAAGGGUGCGUAGGCGGAUUAUUAAGUCAGUGGUGAAAGCUCCAUGCCUAACAUGGAAAUUGCCAUUGAUACUGAUGAUCUUGAGUACAUUUGAAGUGGGCGGAAUGUGUCAUGUAGCGGUGAAAUGCUUAGAUAUGACACAGAACACCGAUUGCGUAGGCAGCUCGCUAAACUGUAACUGACGCUGAGGCACGAAAGCGUGGGGAGCAAACAGGAUUAGAUACCCUAGUAGUCC